GAUGAACGCUGACAGAGUGCUUAACACAUGCAAGUCUUUGGCGAAGCUGUGCUUGCACAGCCUAUCCAGUUCGGACGGGUGAGUAACGCGUCAGGAACUUGCCCUACAUUUAGGGAUAACAUACGUAAACGACUGAUAAGACCUGAUAAGGUCAUGCGUACUCAUGUCUGGCUUGAUGAAAAAAGAUGCUUCUGGAGUGGCUUGCGUCCUAUUUGCUUGUUGGUGGGGUAACUGGCCAACAAGGCGAUGAUAGAUAGCCGGCCUGAGAGGGUAGACGGCCACGAGGGGACUGGGAGGCGGCCGUUACUCCUACGGGAGGAAGCAGUGGAGAAUAAUGGAGAAUCGCGGCAACACUGAUGAAGCUAUUCUGUGUGUAAGAUGCAGGUAUUCGGAUUGUAAAGUGGUUUAAGCGAGGAAGAAAAAAAUGACGGUACCUGAAGAAGAAGCGACGGCUAAAUACGUG
This 463-nucleotide ribosomal RNA is filed under the name uncultured bacterium. RNAcentral's name for it is "partial 16S ribosomal RNA". It matches the Rfam family "Bacterial small subunit ribosomal RNA", at positions 28 to 507 of the family's 1533-position model. The record is from RNAcentral.